GACGAACGCUAGCGACAGGCCUAACACAUGCAAGUCAGGGGCAGCACAUGAGUAGCAAUACGAUGGUGGCGACCGGCGCACGGGUGAGUAACACGUAUGCAACCUGCCUGUAAGAGGGGGAUAACCCGGAGAAAUUCGGACUAAUACCGCAUAAUACCACGAGACUGCAUGGUUUUGUGGUUAAACAUUUAUGGCUUACAGAUGGGCAUGCGUAUGAUUAGAUAGUUGGUAGGGUAACGGCCUACCAAGUCUACGAUCAUUAGGGGUUCUGAGAGGAAGGUCCCCCACACUGGUACUGAGACACGGACCAGACUCCUACGGGAGGCAGCAGUGAGGAAUAUUGGUCAAUGGGCGAGAGCCUGAACCAGCCAAGUCGCGUGAAGGAAGAAGGUUCUAUGGAUUGUAAACUUCUUUUGCAGGGGAAUAAAGGACGGUACGUGUACUGUUUUGUAUGUACCUUGCGAAUAAGGAUCGGCUAACUCCGUG
Molecule: ribosomal RNA, 486 nt
Filed under: uncultured bacterium
Lineage: Bacteria
Description: bacterial SSU rRNA
Rfam family: Bacterial small subunit ribosomal RNA
Source: RNAcentral